This 589-nucleotide ribosomal RNA is filed under the name uncultured bacterium. RNAcentral describes it as "bacterial SSU rRNA". It matches the Rfam family "Bacterial small subunit ribosomal RNA", at positions 338 to 916 of the family's 1533-position model. The record is from RNAcentral.
CCUACGGGAGGCUGCAGUCGAGAAUCAUUCGCAAUGGGCGCAAGCCUGACGAUGCGACGCCGCGUGCAGGAUGAAGGUCUUCGGGAUUGUAAACUGCUGUGAUGGGGGAGCAAUGCAGGACGUGCUAACACCACGUACUGUUGAUAGUACCCCAAGAGGAAGCCACGGCUAACUCUGUGCCAGCAGCCGCGGUAAUACAGAGGUGGCAAGCGUUGUUCGGAUUUACUGGGCGUAAAGGGUGCGUAGGCGGUCCCGUGUGUCGGGUGUGAAAGCCCACGGAUCAUCCGUGGAACUGCACUCGAAACUGCGGGGCUAGAGUGCCGGAGAGGAUGGCGGAAUUCUCGGUGUAGCGGUGAAAUGCGUUGAGAUCGAGAGGAACGCCGGUGGCGAAGGCGGCCAUCUGGACGGCAACUGACGCUGAGGCACGAAAGCUAGGGGAGCAAACAGGAUUAGAUACCCUGGUAGUCCUAGCCGUAAACGGUGUGCACUUGAUGUGGGAGGAAUUAUCCCCUUCCGUGUCGGAGCUAACGCGUUAAGUGCACCGCCUGGGGAGUACGGUCGCAAGAUUAAAACUCAAAUGAAUUGACGG